AGGAACGAGGGAGGAGUGCUUAACACAUGCAAGUCGAACGGAAAGGCCCUGCUUGCAGGGUACUCGAGUGGCGAACGGGUGAGUAACACGUGGGUGAUCUGCCCUGCACUUCGGGAUAAGCCUGGGAAACUGGGUCUAAUACCGGAUAGGAGCCAUUUUUAGUGUGAUGGUUGGAAAGUUUUUUCGGUGUAGGAUGAGCUCGCGGCCUAUCAGCUUGUUGGUGGGGUAAUGGCCUACCAAGGCGGCGACGGGUAGCCGGCCUGAGAGGGUGGACGGCCACAUUGGGACUGAGAUACGGCCCAGACUCCUACGGGAGGCAGCAGUGGGGAAUAUUGCACAAUGGGCGCAAGCCUGAUGCAGCGACGCCGCGUGGGGGAUGACGGCCUUCGGGUUGUAAACUCCUUUCGCUAGGGACGAAGCUUUUUGUGACGGUACCUAGAUAAGAAGCACCGGCUAACUACGUG
This 464-nucleotide ribosomal RNA is filed under the name uncultured bacterium. RNAcentral's name for it is "partial 16S ribosomal RNA". It matches the Rfam family "Bacterial small subunit ribosomal RNA", at positions 31 to 507 of the family's 1533-position model. The record is from RNAcentral.